RNAcentral lists this ribosomal RNA (424 nucleotides) under uncultured bacterium. RNAcentral describes it as "partial 16S ribosomal RNA". It matches the Rfam family "Bacterial small subunit ribosomal RNA", at positions 360 to 776 of the family's 1533-position model. The record is from RNAcentral.
AAUUUUGGACAAUGGGCGCAAGCCUGAUCCAGCCAUGCCGCGUGAGUGAAGAAGGCCUUCGGGUUGUGAAGCUCUUUCGGACGGAAAGAAAUCGCGCAGGCUAAUACCCUGCGCGGAUGACGGUACCGUCAUAAGAGGACCCGGCUAACUACGUGGCAGCAGCCGCGGUAAUACGUAGGGUGCGAGCGUUAAUCGGAAUUACUGGGCGGAAAGCGCGCGUAGGUGGUUCGUUAAGUUGGAUGUGAAAGCCCCGGGCUCAACCUGGGAACUGCGCUUGUGACUGGUCAGCUAGAGUACGGCAGAGGGGGGUGGAAUUCCACGUGUAGCAGUGAAAUGCGUAGAGAUGUGGAGGAACACCGAUGGCGAAGGCAGCCCCCUGGGCCGAUACUGACGCUCAUGCACGAAAGCGUGGGUAGCAAACAGG